GUGGAUCGCCCACCGGCGGUUCCCCGGACGAGACGCGCCGUACCCGGAACGCCAAGACGACGCCCG
This 66-nucleotide non-coding RNA is filed under the name Pseudonocardia sp. RNAcentral also lists the same sequence under 1 other name. The record is from RNAcentral. Lineage: Bacteria; Bacillati; Actinomycetota; Actinomycetes; Pseudonocardiales; Pseudonocardiaceae.